Non-coding RNA from Vicia faba (fava bean), 433 nucleotides. The record is from the annotation of a GenBank genome assembly. Lineage: Eukaryota; Viridiplantae; Streptophyta; Magnoliopsida; Fabales; Fabaceae.
UCUCCCACACACAACAACACUCACACACGUACACAACCAACAACAACAGCAAUAAACUCACCAUUACCGCAUCCUCUCCAUAGAGAGAAAAAUAAAAAUAAAAAGAAAAAGAGAGAGAAAAGAAAGCAUUAUAACAAAAACCGAUUAUCUAAUAUCUUCUUCUUCUUCUUCCCAACCGCUCUUUUCUUCUUCCUCUUCUCACAAACCCUAAUUUCAUUCAUCGUUCAUCGCUCAUCGCCAUGCUUUCUUCGUCGUAGUUUCGUUACUUUCCUUUCACUGGAACAAACUCUUCCUUUUUUUCACCAUUACGCAUUUGUUAUUUUUUUUUUUGUUACUGAUUCUUCCACGAUCGUUACUUCCGUCGCGUUCUCUUUUGUCUCCCUCGUCAAUCGUUUCCCGAUCCUUCUCGUUCUGCAGCUAUACGCGUCGAUCU